This 402-nucleotide ribosomal RNA is filed under the name uncultured bacterium. Its description in RNAcentral is "bacterial SSU rRNA". It matches the Rfam family "Bacterial small subunit ribosomal RNA", at positions 355 to 774 of the family's 1533-position model. The record is from RNAcentral.
UCGGGAAUUUUGGGCAAGGGGCGAAAGCCUGACCCAGCAACGCCGCGUGAGGGAUGAAGUAUUUCGGUAUGUAAACCUCGAAAGAAUGGGAAGAAUAAAUGACGGUACCAUUUAUAAGCUCCGGCUAACUACGUGCCAGCAGCCGCGGUAAUACGUAGGGAGCAAGCGUUGUUCGGAUUUACUGGGCGUAAAGGGCGCGUAGGCGGCGCGGUAAGUCACUUGUGAAAUCUCUGAGCUUAACUCAGAACGGCCAAGUGAUACUGCUGUGCUAGAGUGCGGAAGAGGCAACCGGAAUUCUUGGUGUAGCGGUGAAAUGCGUAGAUAUCAAGAGGAACACCUGAGGCGAAGGCGGGUUGCUGGGCCGACACUGACGCUGAUGCGCGAAAGCCAGGGGAGCAAACG